UGGAAGUAAAAGUCGUAACAAGGUCUCCGUUGGUGAACCAGCGGAGGGAUCAUUACCGAGUUUACAACUCCCAAACCCAAUGUGAACCAUACCAAACUGUUGCCUCGGCGGGGUCACGCCCCGGGUGCGUCGCAGCCCCGGAACCAGGCGCCCGCCGGAGGGACCAACCAAACUCUUUCUGUAGUCCCCUCGCGGACGUUAUUUCUUACAGCUCUGAGCAAAAAUUCAAAAUGAAUCAAAACUUUCAACAACGGAUCUCUUGGUUCUGGCAUCGAUGAAGAACGCAGCGAAAUGCGAUAAGUAAUGUGAAUUGCAGAAUUCAGUGAAUCAUCGAAUCUUUGAACGCACAUUGCGCCCGCCAGUAUUCUGGCGGGCAUGCCUGUCCGAGCGUCAUUUCAACCCUCGAACCCCUCCGGGGGUCCGGCGUUGGGGAUCGGGAACCCCUAAGACGGGAUCCCGGCCCCGAAAUACAGUGGCGGUCUCGCCGCAGCCUCUCAUGCGCAGUAGUUUGCACAACUCGCACCGGGAGCGCGGCGCGUCCACGUCCGUAAAACACCCAACUUCUGAAAUGUUGACCUCGGAUCAGGUAGGAAUACCCGCUGAACUUAAGCAUAUCAAUAAGCGGAGGA
This 629-nucleotide ribosomal RNA is filed under the name Trichoderma paraviridescens. RNAcentral's name for it is "eukaryotic LSU rRNA". The stretch from base 240 to 393 matches the Rfam family "5.8S ribosomal RNA". Lineage: Eukaryota; Fungi; Ascomycota; Sordariomycetes; Hypocreales; Hypocreaceae. The record is from RNAcentral.